This 304-nucleotide long non-coding RNA is filed under the name Elaeis guineensis (African oil palm). Its description in RNAcentral is "long non-coding RNA (EGUI_LNC055961)". Lineage: Eukaryota; Viridiplantae; Streptophyta; Magnoliopsida; Arecales; Arecaceae. The record is from RNAcentral.
AGUCACCCCAUCUUCCUCGAAAAGGGGAAGCAGAUGGUGGAGAGCCCUCCGUCCGAUCAUUAUUCCACCCCCGGAGGGUCUCUACCUUCGUUCUUCCAGAAGACCCUCGAGACUCGCAGUCGAGAGGGCCUCCUAGAUCGAAGAUCCCAAGAAAUGAACCGGCAGAUCGAGGAGCUCAUCAGACGAGGUCGGCUCGAUAGAUUCAUCCAAUGCCGACCUGAAGGUAGGGAGGAUUGGCUGAGGGCCCUACCACGGCCAGAGCCACCAAGGAGGGAGGAAUAGCCUAAAGAUCGGCCUCCAAUCG